AAUGAACGCUGGCGGCGUGCCUCAGACAUGCAAGUCGAACGAGAAAGUACUCUUCGGAGUGCGAGUAAAGUGGCGCACGGGUGAGUAAGACUUAGGUAACGUACCCUUUCGCUGGGGAUAACUAAGGGAAACUUUAGCUAAUACCGAAUGAACCUAUCAUUAGCUGCGGCGAAGAUAGGUAAAGCCGUAAGGCGCGAAAGGAGCGGCCUGAGCUCGAUUAGCUUGUUGGUGGGGUAAAGGCCUACCAAGGCGACGAUCGAUAGCUGGUCUGAGAGGAUGAUCAGCCACACUGGAACUGGAACACGGUCCAGACUCCUACGGGAGGCAGCAGUUAGGAAUAUUGCACAAUGGGGGAAACCCUGAUGCAGCAACGCCGCGUGAGUGAGGAAGGCCUUCGGGUUGUAAAGCUCUUUCAGUAGGGAAGAAAAAAAUGACGGUACCUACAGAAGAAGCACCGGCUAACUCCG
RNAcentral lists this ribosomal RNA (467 nucleotides) under uncultured Pseudomonadota bacterium. Its description in RNAcentral is "bacterial SSU rRNA". It matches the Rfam family "Bacterial small subunit ribosomal RNA", at positions 29 to 505 of the family's 1533-position model. Lineage: Bacteria; Pseudomonadati; Pseudomonadota. The record is from RNAcentral.